Panicum virgatum (switchgrass) is the source of this 751-nucleotide long non-coding RNA. RefSeq lists it as uncharacterized. The record is from RefSeq and is a predicted model, not a curated record. The transcript is spliced from 2 exons. Lineage: Eukaryota; Viridiplantae; Streptophyta; Magnoliopsida; Poales; Poaceae.
UCUUCCUCUCUGUCCGGAGACAGAGACAGAGAGAGAGAGACAUCGAAGUCCGUCGCCGGCUAGGGUUUCGUCCGAUCCGACUCAGAGUCAGAGUCAGAGCCGGCGCGGCGCGGCGCGGCGAUGAACAACUCCGCCUCGCCGGCGGUGGACUGGGGGGACGAUUCCGCGGGGGAGAUGGACUCCGAGGACACCGCGGCCGCCGCCUCCAUGGGCAUGGUCGGCAUCGCCAGCAUGAUGGAGGUCGACGCCGACGACCGCCACCCACCGUCUACCGCCCCAUCCCUCCCCAUCGAUGCCGACUUCUUCAACGCCUUCCCAGACGACUUCGACGACCAAGACCUCGACUGACCGGCCGACCGACCAAUUAGGCCAGGUCGCCAGACACAGCUGAGCCGCCGGUGCAGUGCAGCGGCGCAGUUGUAGAUGAACCUACCACACCUACAUAUAACAUAUGGACAUGCCGUCUCGCUGCCAAGGAACCACAAGUCAACGAUCACCUUCUGCUGCAUAGUGUUGUAUUGUCAGCUAUGUUUUUGUACCAUUCGAAUUUUCGAUACCUGCCCUGGUUACUGCCAGCCGUAUGUACAAGAAUAAGAAUAUGUUCUGUUGUGUAGUACACAAGUUAAUGCAAAUGUUCUUGUUGGGUGGAUCAUUUGCACGAACGGGUGGAUCCUGCUUUUGAUAUAGUGAAUACAAAUCUGAACAUUUGCAUUAUAUUGAUGGAAUGACUUUAGGAGGAGUUGAUGACAAA